CCUACGGGUGGCAGCAGUGAGGAAUAUUGGUCAAUGGGCGGGAGCCUGAACCAGCCAAGUCGCGUGAGGGAAGACGGUCCUAUGGAUUGUAAACCUCUUUAGGCGGGGAGCAAUGCCGGGCACGCGUGCCCGGAGGGAGAGUACCCGCAGAAUAAGCAUCGGCUAACUCCGUGCCAGCAGCCGCGGUAAUACGGAGGAUGCGAGCGUUAUCCGGAUUUAUUGGGUUUAAAGGGUGCGUAGGCGGAUUUUUAAGUCAGCGGUAAAAUGUCCGGGCUCAACCCGGGCCGGCCGUUGAUACUGGCAGUCUUGAGUACAGUUGAGGUAGGCGGAAUUCGUGGUGUAGCGGUGAAAUGCUUAGAUAUCACGAAGAACUCCGAUUGCGAAGGCAGCUUACUAAACUGCCACUGACAUUGAUGCUCGAAAGUGUGGGUAUCAAACAGGAUUAGAUACCCGGGUAGUC
RNAcentral lists this ribosomal RNA (460 nucleotides) under uncultured bacterium. RNAcentral's name for it is "partial 16S ribosomal RNA". It matches the Rfam family "Bacterial small subunit ribosomal RNA", at positions 338 to 795 of the family's 1533-position model. The record is from RNAcentral.